UACGUAGGGUGCGAGCGUUAAUCGGAAUUACUGGGCGUAAAGCGUGCGCAGGCGGUUUUGUAAGCCAGGUGUGAAAUCCCCGGGCUCAACCUGGGAAUGGCAUUUGGGACUGCAAGGCUGGAGUGCGGCAGAGGAGACUGGAAUUCCUGGUGUAGCAGUGAAAUGCGUAGAUAUCAGGAGGAACACCGGUGGCGAAGGCGGCCUGCUGGGCAGUUACUGACACUGAGGCGCGACAGCGUGGGGAGCAAACAGG
This 253-nucleotide ribosomal RNA is filed under the name uncultured bacterium. Its description in RNAcentral is "partial 16S ribosomal RNA". It matches the Rfam family "Bacterial small subunit ribosomal RNA", at positions 524 to 776 of the family's 1533-position model. The record is from RNAcentral.